AUGCCUCUUUAGACCUUAUAGUUGCAAGUCUGUCUUAUACAUAUAUAUUUGGUUUGAUUCUUCACGAAGCGUUAAAUUUCUGAGUAAAUAAUACGCGUGUGUGUGGAAUGUGAAACAAUAAAAUAUCCCGGACAAUCCGAACAACACAAUAAAUUCUUCAAACACGUAUGCUUUUGUAUAAUGCUGUUUAUAAAAGUACAAGGGUGCUUGUGUAAAGCCAAGUCGAGCCGUUUUCGCGCAUUUUCUGUUUCGGAUGCCCGCGUUUACGAAGACCACCAACGUAGCACGAGAAAUCUGACGUCAGUGCGACGUAAAAAGAAUCCGGGUCCAUGAUGACAGUUCCAGAAAGCUCACAUUAUCUUCGUGCUUGUGGUUUGUUUUGCGUCAUCGGACGACAGCCCACGUACAUACAAUGCUAAAAACGGCCCGGCGCCCCCUGAAAAUAGUGCUCAUUUACACACGACUGAGGUGACUUUCCAGGCGUGACGUCGCCUAUGAUGAACAUGCAUUCCAAGAAACGACCUGGACUCCCUUUUGCAUGAUCUCGGUUGUUUCUCCUCCAUACAACUUUCGUAAAGCAGAAGCGGAGUUCCAACACAAAACGGAUUGUAAAUGCUAUGUCGCUCUCUAGUGGGAAUUUCUGGAACUGCAACCGCAACAUCCCAGACGGCUGCAACACAGUUCAAACUGUUGUGAUUUUUUUCUUUUCAGCUCCUUCUACGACGACAGCAAAUUGCGCAGGAAAUGCUGAAUCAUAGAUCAGUUGAACGUGUCCAUUCAAAGGUUCACAGAGGUCAAAUUGAGUUGACAUGUAAAGGUUUCAUUUCACCCAGAAAUUUCACCAAAAAGACAAAGUACACUAAGUACAUUCGGUCUAAGGGUCAGUUGUGUUUAAUCAUUUGUUUUUAUUUGUUUGGCUUGUCGGUCGGUCAAAAUAUGCCUGCAUGAAAUUGAUCUGUGGCAUUCAAUUACAUCAUUGAUUGGUCGCAUCAGUUUUCAUUUCAUUAUAGUCGACUAAACUUUCAACAGACAUAUUCCAGCAACUGUAUAAGGUUCCUACACUAAGAAAACAAACAGAAAACGUAAGUUUGACACAUAGAAGAAGGCCUUUAUUGAUAUAGUAUCAAUACAAUCAAGUACUUGUAGAUUUUUGAUAAGCAGGGGGAAAAAAACAAUUACAAAUCAAAACGAGUGCAUUUUAUACUCACAUUUUACUGCGCAAAAAGUAACGCAAUAGCCUUGUGUGCGG
Hippocampus comes (tiger tail seahorse) is the source of this 1249-nucleotide long non-coding RNA. RefSeq lists it as uncharacterized. The record is from RefSeq and is a predicted model, not a curated record. NCBI's taxonomy places the organism in Eukaryota, Metazoa, Chordata, Actinopteri, Syngnathiformes, Syngnathidae. The transcript is spliced from 2 exons.